AGGACGAACGCUUGCGACGUGCCUAAGAAAUGCAAGUCGAACGGGGGAGCAAUCCCUAGUGGCGAACGGUCGCGUAACACGUGGGCAACCUGCCCCAGAGCGGGGGAUAACACUCCGAAAGGAGUGCUAAUACCGCAUGUGGACUUUUCUGGCAUCAGAGAAAGUCUAAAGAUUUAUCACUCUGGGAUGGGCCCGCGGCCUAUCAGCUAGUUGGAGGGUAACGCCCACCAAGGCUUCGACGGGUAGCUGGUCUGAGAGGACGAUCAGCCGGAUUGGGACUGAGAUACGGCCCAGACUCCUACGGGGGGCAGCAAUUAGGAAUCUUGCACAAUGGGCGAAAGCCUGAUGCAGCGACGUCGCGUGGGGGAUGAAAUCUUUCGGGAUGUAAACUCCUUUUAACGGGGAAGAAAAAAUGACGGUACCCGUUGAAUAAGCCCGGCUAACUACGUGCCAGCAGCCGC
This 461-nucleotide ribosomal RNA is filed under the name uncultured bacterium. RNAcentral describes it as "SSU rRNA". It matches the Rfam family "Bacterial small subunit ribosomal RNA", at positions 26 to 518 of the family's 1533-position model. The record is from RNAcentral.